GGCUGAGGGCUGCAGGAGGUCGGGCCGGGACCGUCCGUCCGUGCGCUGCAGGCGCGGCCCUCACCGAGAGGGGCGGGGCUCGCUCGGCGUCCCCUCUGCGCUCUGGGUACAGAAUUCCCGGAACGCGCGCUGUGCUGCGAUGGUCGCUCGGUUUGCACUCUGGGCUGAGAGUCACUUGCGGGAGGCCGUUUCUGGAGGUCCCCCUGCAUGACCCCACCCCCAGGCGCAAGGACACGGUCUUCCACCGACUUGUCCAGGCAGCAAUUCCAGGACGAUUCCGCUGUGCUGUCCUGGGUUCCAGGCGCCUUAGGGCUGCUCUGGGUGGUGGACCGUCCCCACCCUCGGGGCAGCACCGGCACACUCUGGUCUGUCCCUGCCUCGGGGCAGCCCCGGACAUGAGGCCGUCUUCCCAGAGCUUGGCAGACAGCCCUGGGCAGUUCGACCGAAGGGAGGUCCCCGCCGGCAGCAGCUCAGUCGAGGAAUGGUGCAGCCUGCCCACUUGUGGCAGUGAGCCAUCAGUGUGACCCAUCCGAAGACCGUCAGGGCCAUGUCCCUCAUGACACCUCCUGUGUCCUCGGGAUGCCCUCUUCCAGCUCUGCUGGAAUAUGUGACAGAUCGUCGAGGUCACCCCACAUGCUGUGGAACACGCGUGUGUGCUUCAGUGACACGGAACACGUGUGUGUGCCUACGAAGCUCUCACGGAGCUGUGUACAGGAGGCACAGAAACAGAAGCCCCGAGUUCCCUCCAUGGACCUGCUGGAAGCUCCGCUUGGGGUCAGCACAGUUCCCUAACCUGGGAGACCAGGUCUGGGACACAUGUGCCCCCUCCUGUGUCUGGGAGGACGUCAGAGCCCCCAAGGGCCAGGGGUCUUGUAGACCACUCGCGGCUCCCUGCCCUACACCACAGCCACCUCCCUGGGCCUGGGGAACCCUCGCAGCACAGCCAAGCCCCAAAGGUGAGCUCUGACAUGGACAGGUCACUGGGUCUGUGUCCACCCAGAAGACAGGAGACCUCUUCUAAAGAUCCUUCACUUCAUUUCACGGGCAAGGACCUUUCUCCAGAGAAGGUCUUGUUCAGUGUCUGAGGAUUCGAAUGUAGAUGCGUCCUCUGUGGGUCGAACAGUGUGUCCCACAUUCAUGUCACCUGGAAUGUCAGACAGGACCUCGAUUGGUAACAGGGUCUCUGCAGAGGUCAUCAGUGAAGGGUCCCGAGAUGGGCUCCUCCUGGGAUAGGGGGCCCUCAUGCCAUGGCCAUGUCCUCCCAAGAGACAGAGGAGGGGACACAGACCCAGAGGAGGAGCCCCGUGGAGACGGAGGCAGAGACUGGAGUGAGGGGCCACCAGCCCAGGGCCACCUGGAGCCCAGGAGCUGGACAGGCAGGAGGAGCCCCCUGGAGCCCUGGAGGGAGCUCAGCCCGGGACCCUGGUCCAGCCUCUGCCCUCCAGGGCUGGGGACCUGGACUCCUGUUGUUGAAGUCCCUGAGAGUGGCCAUCAAGCCCAGGACACUCCCACAGGGCCACCGCGACCGCCCACCCUGCCCAUGUUGGAAGAGACGGGAAGGUCUCCCCUGCCAGCCCCCAGGCAGGACCUGCUGGCCAUGGCUCUUCUGAAGCGCUGCGUGGAGCAUUUUGUGCUGGUGGCCCCCCGUCCUCCCUGAUGUGCAGGGAGGACCCCACCCCCACAUCCGGGGUCCACCCAGCCCGUGGGAGGCGCCGUGGGGGGGCACGGUCCUGAUGCCCAGUCCUGUGCUGGUGCCUGGGGCCCACAGGCCAGCGAAGCCUCCCUG
Molecule: long non-coding RNA, 1786 nt
Filed under: Marmota monax (woodchuck)
Lineage: Eukaryota; Metazoa; Chordata; Mammalia; Rodentia; Sciuridae
Source: RNAcentral